GAUACUACCCUAGCUGUGUUGGCUUUCUAACCCGCACCACUUAUCGUGGUGGGAGACAGUGUCAGGCGGGCAGUUUGACUGGGGCGGUCGCCUCCUAAAAGGUAACGGAGGCGCUCAAAGGUUCCCUCAUAAUGGUUGGAAAUCAUUCAUAGAGUGUAAAGGCAUAAGGGAGCUUGACUGCGAGACCUACAAGUCGAGCA
RNAcentral lists this ribosomal RNA (200 nucleotides) under Staphylococcus haemolyticus. RNAcentral's name for it is "partial 23S rRNA". It matches the Rfam family "Bacterial large subunit ribosomal RNA", at positions 2196 to 2395 of the family's 2925-position model. The record is from RNAcentral. Lineage: Bacteria; Bacillati; Bacillota; Bacilli; Caryophanales; Staphylococcaceae.